GGCCUCAUCCGGUCUCGGCCUUGUUCUGGGCCUGGCGCCUUUCCCAUUGUUGGGGAAAGUGGUCUAGGAGACCAAGGCAGCGUGCUGGGUGGGAGAGAAUGAUUUGUGGCUUCUGAUUCUGACAUAUGUCGUUAAGGAGGGGAGGGAUGAGUGACCCUGUUUUACUUAUGGAGAACCUGGGGCCAGAGCUGUUUUCCCAGGGUGACACAGGCGGUGUAUACAGAGCUCUAACUGUCCUGUUCCAUCCAAAGGGGGAAAACCAAGAAGCACUUGUGAAGUUAACAUUUCAGAGACAGAGGAUCACUAAAAGGCUGAGACCUAAUCAUAGGACUGUGAUCACUCUUCUGUCCUUUGCCAUCUUACUACGAUAUUACUGUAGGGCCUACUAACUGCAGUUCCUCUUACCCAGUACCUCAUGUCUGAUGUCAAGAAGAAAAUUACAAGUCAUACUAAAAGGCAAAACACAAAGUUUGAAGAAAAAGAGCAAGCAUCAGACCCAGACUCAGAUAUGGCAGGAGUGUUAGACUUAUCAGACCGGGAAUUUAAAACAAUUAUAACUAAUAUACUAAGGGCUCUAAUGAAUAAAGUAGACAGCAUGCAAGAACCUGUGAAGCAGAGAGAUGGAAAUCCUAAGAAAGAAUAAAAAGAAAGGCUAGAGAUGAGAAACACUGUUCUAGUGAUGAGAAAUGCCUUUGAUAGGCCCAUGAGUGUAAUGGACAUGGCUGAAGAAAGAAUCUCUACGCUUGAGGAUAUAUCAAUAGAAACUUCCAGGACAGAAAAGCAAAGAACAAAGAGACUGAAAAAGUGAAACAGACUAUUCAAGAACUGUGCGACAACUAUGAAAAAAAAUAACAUACACAUAAUGGGGAUGCAAGAAAGAGAAGAGAAACAAAGAGAAGAGAAAGAAACAGAAAAAAUAUUUAAAAUAAUAAUAGCUUGAGCAACAUAGGGAGACCCCAUCUCUACAAGAAAAUUAAAAAAUUAGGGGUGCAUGGUGCACACCUCUGGUCCCAUCUACUCGGUGGGGUGAGGUGAAAGGAUCAUGUAAGCCCGGGAGGUCAAAUCUGCAGUGAGCCAUGAUUGCACCACUGCACUCCAGCCUGGGUGACAGAGUGAGACCCUGUCUCAAAAAAUAAAUAGAUGUGGUGGCACACACCUGUAGUCCCAGGUACUUGGGAGGCUGAGGCAGGAGGAUCGCUUGAGUCUGUACAGGAGUUCUGGGCUGCAAUGCACUAUGCCGAUUGGGUGUCUGCACUAAGUUUGGCAUUAGUAUGGUGACCUCUGGGGAAAGGCGGAUAACCAGGUUGCCUAAGGAGGGGAGAACUGGCCCAGGUCAGAAACGGAGCAGGUCAAAAUUUCCUUGCUGACCACACCUGUGAAAGGCCACUGCACUCCAGCCUGACCAACACAGCGAGACCCCACCUUUUAAAUAAAUAAACAAAAAAAGAAUAAUGACAGAGAUUUUCACCAAAUUAAUAUCAGGCACCAAACCAUAGAUCCAGGAAGCUCUGUGAACACCAACCAGAAUAAAUGCCAAAAAACUCCACCCAGGUAUAGCAUAUUCAAAGUAGAAAUCAAAGAUAAAUAAAACACUACUGGAGGCCAAGGCAGGUUGAUCAGAGGUCAAGGUGGGUGUAUCACUUGAGGUCAGGAGUUUGAGCCAGCCUGGCCAACAUGGCAAAACCUCAUCACUACCAAAAACACAAAAAUUAGCUGGACAUAAAUGGUGGGCGCCUGUAAUCCCAGCUACUUGGGAGGCUGAGACAGGAGAUUCGCUUGAACCCAGGAGGUGAAGGUUGCAAGGUUGCAGUGAGCUGACAUUGCACCACUGCACUGCAGCCUGGUGACAAAGUGAGACUCUUUUCCAAACAAACAAAGAAACAAACAAACAAAAACUAUUGAAAGAAGCCAGAGGAAAAAGCCACCUUACCUAUAGGGAGCAAAGAUAAGGAUAACAUCUGUCUUCUCCUCGGAAACCAUGCAAACAAGAAGAGUGUGAAGUGAAAUAUUUAACAUCUUGAGUGAAAAAAAUACACAACCUUGAAUUCUGUACACUGUAAAAUUAUUCCUCAAAACUGAAGAAUAAAUACAGACUUUCUCAGACAAACAAAAAUUGAGGGAAUUUAUUGUUAGUACAUGUGCCUUGUAAGAAAUACUGAAAGAAGUUCUUCCAAGGGAAAGAAAAACAUACAAGUCAGAAACUUGGAUCUAUAUAAAGAAAGAGAGCACUGAAGAAGGAAUGAGUGAAGAUAAAAUAGUAACUUAUUUUUUUAUUCCAAAUUGAUCUAACAGAUAACAGUUUGUUCAAAAUAAUAAUAGCAAGAAUGUAUUCAAUUAUGUAUUCAUAUAUGUGUAUAUAUAUCUACAGAAACAUAUAUACUUAAGUACAUUUAUGUAUAAGUGAAAUGAAUGACAGUAGUGAUAUAAGAGAUAGGAGGCAGGAAUUGGGAUUAUUUUGUUAUUAUA
Molecule: long non-coding RNA, 2466 nt
Filed under: Homo sapiens (human)
Lineage: Eukaryota; Metazoa; Chordata; Mammalia; Primates; Hominidae
Description: HSALNT0036054
Rfam family: Metazoan signal recognition particle RNA (bases 1139-1427)
Source: RNAcentral